AUGGCUUGCAGAAAGCUAACGCUCUUGGUGGUUACUGUGUUUCUUUUGGCGGGGGCUGAAGGUCAGACCAUAACAGAGUCUGAACCAGCUGUUAGAAAGCCUGGAGAAUCCCACAGACUCACCUGCUCAACAUCUGGAUUUAGCUUCAGUAGCUCAGUUUGGAACUGGAUCAGACAGGCUCCUGGGAAAGGACUGGAGUGGAUAGCGCUCGUACACACAUCUAGUACUCCAAUCUAUUACUCCCAGUCAGUCCAGGGGAGAUUCACCAUCUCCAGAGAUGACUCCAGCAGUAAAGUCUAUCUGCAGAUGAACAGUCUGAAGACCGAGGACACUGCAGUGUAUUACUGUGCCCGACAGCCACAGUGA
Etheostoma cragini (Arkansas darter) is the source of this 366-nucleotide non-coding RNA. The record is from the annotation of a RefSeq genome assembly. Lineage: Eukaryota; Metazoa; Chordata; Actinopteri; Perciformes; Percidae.